This 748-nucleotide long non-coding RNA is filed under the name Homo sapiens (human). RNAcentral describes it as "HSALNT0371978". Lineage: Eukaryota; Metazoa; Chordata; Mammalia; Primates; Hominidae. The record is from RNAcentral.
GCUUAGAGAACAGGAAGUGGGAGCCACAUACCCCGAGCUGGCGGCUUGAGCCUGUGGUAUCUAGGCUCACCUCACUGCGGUUGGUGGAGGUGAUGGAGGUUGCAGCUUGGCCAGCAUGGUAGAAAGGUGGCAGGGUAGACUCUAGAUUCUAGAGGGCAACCUCUGUUUGCUCAUGCUGGAGCGUGGCAGGUGCACAAUGUUUCCUUGGGAAUCCUCAGCAGGGCACGUCUGGCUUUUACCACCCAGUUGCUUCGAGCCAGGAGAUGGAGGAGUCAUCUGUUGCACGCUGGAGGCUGGAGCCUGCAGAUGGCAUGGUUCUGUGGCUCACCUCGCUGCAGUUGGUGGCAGAGACAGAGACUGCAGCUUGACCAGAGUGGUGGAGUGAGUAUUGUCAUCUGCAUGAGCAAAUCUGGUUCAUCACAUCUUUGCAACAGGAAAAGGAAGGGAGGAUCAUGUGUAUAAUGUUUUAAGGCCAAGAUUCACAACAAGAACAAAGUCUUUAUUAACUUUUGCCUUCAAGAACCUGCAGUGUUGAGCCCUUUUUUAUUUCUGGUAUUACUACCUUUGGUUGGAGUGCAGUGGCAUGAUCUUGACUCACUGCAACCUCCACCUCCCGGGUUCAAGCCAUUCUCUUCCCUCAGCCUCCUCAGUAGCUGGAUUACAGGUACCUCCCACCACACCCAGGUAACUUUUUUGUGUUUUUUAGCAGAGAGAGUUCACCGUGUUGGCCAGGCUCAUCUCGAACUCC